RNAcentral lists this ribosomal RNA (459 nucleotides) under uncultured bacterium. RNAcentral describes it as "bacterial SSU rRNA". It matches the Rfam family "Bacterial small subunit ribosomal RNA", at positions 15 to 518 of the family's 1533-position model. The record is from RNAcentral.
GAUUAUGGCUCAGAGCGAACGCUGGCGGCAGGCUUAACACAUGCAAGUCGAGCGGGCGUAGCAAUACGUCAGCGGCAGACGGGUGAGUAACGCGUGGAACGUACCUUUUGGUUCGGAACAACCCAGGGAAACUUGGGCUAAUACCGGAUAAGCCCUUACGGGGAAAGAUUUAUCGCCGAAAGAUCGGCCCGCGUCUGAUUAGCUAGUUGGUGGGGUAAUGGCCCACCAAGGCGACGAUCAGUAGCUGGUCUGAGAGGAUGAUCAGCCACAUUGGGACUGAGACACGGCCCAAACUCCUACGGGAGGCAGCAGUGGGGAAUAUUGGACAAUGGGCGCAAGCCUGAUCCAAGCCAUGCCGCGUGAGUGAUGAAGGCCCUAGGGUUGUAAAGCUCUUUUGUGCGGGAAGAUAAUGACGGUACCGCAAGAAUAAGCCCCGGCUAACUUCGUGCCAGCAGCGGC